This 844-nucleotide ribosomal RNA is filed under the name uncultured bacterium. Its description in RNAcentral is "bacterial SSU rRNA". It matches the Rfam family "Bacterial small subunit ribosomal RNA", at positions 60 to 914 of the family's 1533-position model. The record is from RNAcentral.
AGUCGAACGAUGAUGCCCAGCUUGCUGGGUUGAUUAGUGGCGAACGGGUGAGUAACACGUGAGUAACCUGCCCCUGACUCUGGGAUAAGCGUUGGAAACGACGUCUAAUACUGGAUAUGAUCGCCGGCCGCAUGGUCUGGUGGUGGAAAGAUUUUUUGGUUGGGGAUGGACUCGCGGCCUAUCAGCUUGUUGGUGAGGUAAUGGCUCACCAAGGCGACGACGGGUAGCCGGCCUGAGAGGGUGACCGGCCACACUGGGACUGAGACACGGCCCAGACUCCUACGGGAGGCAGCAGUGGGGAAUAUUGCACAAUGGGCGAAAGCCUGAUGCAGCAACGCCGCGUGAGGGAUGACGGCCUUCGGGUUGUAAACCUCUUUUAGUAGGGAAGAAGCGAAAGUGACGGUACCUGCAGAAAAAGCACCGGCUAGCUACGUGCCAGCAGCCGCGGUAAUACGUAGGGUGCAAGCGUUGUCCGGAAUUAUUGGGCGUAAAGAGCUCGUAGGCGGUUUGUCGCGUCUGCUGUGAAAUCCCGAGGCUCAACCUCGGGCUUGCAGUGGGUACGGGCAGACUAGAGUGCGGUAGGGGAGAUUGGAAUUCCUGGUGUAGCGGUGGAAUGCGCAGAUAUCAGGAGGAACACCGAUGGCGAAGGCAGAUCUCUGGGCCGUAACUGACGCUGAGGAGCGAAAGCAUGGGGAGCGAACAGGAUUAGAUACCCUGGUAGUCCAUGCCGUAAACGUUGGGCGCUAGAUGUAGGGACCUUUCCACGGUUUCUGUGUCGUAGCUAACGCAUUAAGCGCCCCGCCUGGGGAGUACGGCCGCAAGGCUAAAACUCAAAGGAAUUGAC